UACGGAGGGUGCAAGCGUUAAUCGGAUUUACUGGGCGUAAAGCGCGCGUAGGCGGUUACAUAAGUCGGGUGUGAAAGCCCCGGGCUCAACCUGGGAAUUGCAUUCGAUACUGUGUAGCUAGAGUUUGGGAGAGGGAAGUGGAAUUCCGGGUGUAGCGGUGAAAUGCGUAGAUAUCCGGAGGAACACCAGUGGCGAAGGCGACUUCCUGGCCCAAAGCUGACGCUGAGGUGCGAAAGCGUGGGGAG
Molecule: ribosomal RNA, 245 nt
Filed under: uncultured Gammaproteobacteria bacterium
Lineage: Bacteria; Pseudomonadati; Pseudomonadota; Gammaproteobacteria
Description: partial 16S ribosomal RNA
Rfam family: Bacterial small subunit ribosomal RNA
Source: RNAcentral